UGCCAGACUCCUACGGGAGGCAGCAGUGGGGAAUAUUGCACAAUGGGGGAAACCCUGAUGCAGCGACGCCGCAUGAGUGAAGAAGUAAUUCGUUAUGUAAAGCUCUAUCAGCAGGGAAGAAAAUGACGGUACCUGAGUAAGAAGCCCCGGCUAACUACGUGCCAGCAGCCGCGGUAAUACGUAGGGGGCAAGCGUUAUCCGGAUUUACUGGGUGUAAAGGGAGCGUAGACGGCAGUGCAAGUCUGGAGUGAAAGGUGGGGGCUCAACCCCCGGACUGCUCUGGAAACUGUACGGCUGGAGUGCAGGAGAGGUAAGUGGAAUUCCUAGUGUAGCGGUGAAAUGCGUAGAUAUUAGGAGGAACACCAGUGGCGAAGGCGGCUUACUGGACUGUAACUGACGUUGAGGCUCGAAAGCGUGGGGAGCAAACAGGAUUAGAUACCCUCGUA
This 446-nucleotide ribosomal RNA is filed under the name uncultured bacterium. Its description in RNAcentral is "bacterial SSU rRNA". It matches the Rfam family "Bacterial small subunit ribosomal RNA", at positions 329 to 792 of the family's 1533-position model. The record is from RNAcentral.